Long non-coding RNA from Dunckerocampus dactyliophorus (ringed pipefish), 3323 nucleotides. RefSeq lists it as uncharacterized. The record is from RefSeq and is a predicted model, not a curated record. NCBI's taxonomy places the organism in Eukaryota, Metazoa, Chordata, Actinopteri, Syngnathiformes, Syngnathidae. The transcript has 3 exons.
UACCGCGCUGGAUGAUGCGGGAUGGAGAGGAGGAUGCUGGCGCGUCAUCCCCGCGCUUGUUUUGUCUCUUAGCAACAGGAAACAUCUGCCUCCGCGGGGACCAAUGAAGCUGGCGUCUCGUCUCUUGUUGCUGUCGAGGAGAUAUUUUAGGAGGCUGGAGUGCACCGAGGAUCGCACCGCGGAGGAGCUGCAGCCGGACCAGCACACUCUUCCCUAAAUACUGCUGGACUUCAUUAUUAGGUAACACUGCUACUACUAGUAUUGUUAUUAGCCUUGACUCAUUCACUUGGGUUUUUAAUACACUUUCAUGGUCUUACAUUUUCCUAGUUUCCAAUGCUGUGAUGACAAAAUAUAGUAGGAAGUCAACUUACUCAGACAGCAUUGUCAAAAAUGUACUAGUUAUCAAGCGAAUGGCAUUUAAUCUGUUUUUCCAUGAACAUUAUUUGUUGUAAAGCGGAAUCACACCAGAAGUGUGAGAUGCACACACGCAUCCUACACGUUCUCUCCUGUCAUGCAUUCCUAUUUUCCUGUAUUCCUUUAAUAUCACGUAAUGUCAUGUAUUGUGGAUGCGCUUAGACGUGUGAGUCACAGCGGCAGAGUGAACGUUUUGCAAAUAUAACGCUUCCCACUCGUAUUCACGGUGGAUUUGUGGCGUUAAAGAACCCCCCCCCCCCCAAACACACACACACACACACACACACACACACACUCCUCCAUCUGCUGGUCCAAUGAGCUCCUUUGCAAACACAUCUCUGAAUAGACGUUUUUCCGCUGUCGGACUAUCUUAUUUGUACACAAUAUGCCCACGGGUGCUUACAAACGUUAAAUAUAACAAAUAAAUGUGUGACUAAUUUACUUGGAUGACAAAGACAGCAGGUAAAAUAUACAUUAGCCGCAGAAACCUGGCGAUUAAAUGAUAUUUUCCUUGACUUUCUUCUAUGUGUGUGAUCAGAAAACAUAAUUUUGUUAGUUUAUAUGACAAUACCAUUGCUAUCAAUGUGUUUAAUAAACAAUUUUAUAUAUAUUGGUGCAAAUGUGUACAGCCGUCCUUCGCUAUAGCAUGGUUCGAAUAAAGCUCCCUCACUAUAUCGCGGUGUUUAAAAAAACCAUCAAUAAAUGAUUGCUGUUUUGUGGUUGACGACGGCCUAUAUUAUUCGUCAAAAAAUAACGAAAGACAAGUUAUAUGUAGUGUUCUGGUCACAGAACAGAGACAUGACGUUAGCUCACAUUACCUUUCCCGCUGCAUGGAGACUGGCUACUGAGCCAGCAGGGCCGAGCCGACAUGCCAUGGCUGAGAUCGAGUGAAAAAAGGUUCUCCUGUCACUCAGUGUGGCCGUGAGAAGUUUUUUGGCUUCUUUGUCUUUCUUCCCCACUCCGUUUGAAACACUUGUUUAUGUUUAGAAUAAGCAAAUUGGAGAGGCUAACUAGUUAGCUUGCUGGCUUGUCCCUGCAGUGAUCACGUGGCCUGCACAAUGUGAUGUAAACAAAGAAUAAUAGGAGUGUAAAAGUGACUAUUGGGGUGUUAUUUCAUGUCUACAGGGCUCUAAUAUUGUUAAAACCCGUAAUUUAGACAGACAUAAACAGGUUUUCUAUGCUCUAACUACGAAAAUAUUCCUUUUAUUAAUAUUGAAUCCUGCUUUGCGGAAAUUCACUUAUCUCUGUCAGGUUUGGAACCAAUUAACCGCGAUAAACGAGGGAUGACUGUAUUGAAUUGGAGUGAUUGAAUUGAUUUAGGAGUUUAGAAGCGACUUAGAAGCAGAGCUCACAGAACUUUAACAACAACCUGGAGUGUUUCCCUGCAGGAGUGUGAGGAAGAUGUGGACGUUCAGGUGGUCUCACACACAUUGACGCUAUACGACCACUUGUGGACCAGCAGCAGCAGCAGCUCAGCUCAGCUAAGCGGCAUCUUCCCGCUGGAGAGAGACCAACCCAUUCAACAACGUCGAAAGUCGCUUACUUCAAGAGGAAAUAUGCGGAGGAGGAGGUUUUGCACGGAGGCCUACGAGGAUAUUUUCAAAAACACCUGAUACUGCAAGAGGACAGGGGCUGCAUCCUCAAGUUGUCCCUGGAGAAGCUGAGGUUCCUGGAGGACCCUGAGGCCUACCUGCGGCGCUCCGUCCUCAUCAACAACUUGCUGAGGAAGAUCCACAGCGAGGAGGAGGAGGAUGUAGAGGAGGAAGAGGAGAUGGUAGGCGAGGGCGGGAUGUACUCAGACAGAAAGAGGGUGAAGGUACUGGUGAGCGACUGCUGCUCUCCAUCGUUGAGCUUCAAGGAGCUGCAGCGUUACAGUCUGGUGCCGUGCUGUCCUUCGGCAGGCUGCCUCUGCGGGCUAGACCCCGGCCCGGUCCUGGAACCGCUGGAUGCGGACCACCGGCUGCUCCUGUACAACCUGGACGACCACGGCUGACUGUGGGCUUCACGGCCACGAGGGUGUUCAAAAGCUGAGAAACUUACCAGGAAGGAAGCACCUGCUCUGUUUGUUCCAGAAGCUUCUGAGAAAGUCUGCUUGACACGCUGAGAGACCACCAUUAGAACCACCAUUACCACGCUUAGGAAGCCUGGAUCAGUGUCAAAGGUCAAGCUGUCACAGCAUCGAUGAUUGACUUUUAUUGCUCUUGUGGCUCACGUGAGCUUCUUCAGGGAUUAUUGGAUGCUCCUGUGAAGAUAUUUUUCUUACCUUUAAUGUCUUUCUUGGUCUAACAUUCAUUGACUGUGACAUCAUGCAAAGGUCAUUUUGUGGCCGCUCGCUCUUCUUGACUGGCUCGCUGCUGCUCUCUGCUGGAGGAAAAUUAACAUUGCAGCUAUUUUGUUUGUAAGGGUGUUUGCUGGAGAAAUGAAAAAGAGAACCCUGACAGUAUUUUUAAAGCAACAUCUCUUUAAAUUUGUAUAUUUUAUAGUUUCUUACUAUGUAUCCUACUUGGAGAGUUUGUACUGAAUUUUCACGUUUUAUUGAUCAAUGUGCUUUGUAAAGUCAACCUGUCCGCUUUGUGUCAAUAGUAAUUGAUGUCGUUCAUCCUCUCUACAAAUUACUGUGUUAUUUGGUUUGUGUUCAGGAACUUUACUGUGUUUCCACAUGUGUUUAUUCCUAUCAAGCAUGUGAAAAUAAUAACACAUUAUCCAAAAGAAGUUCAAUAUUUUAUCACAAAUAUAUAUAUUUUGAUGAAGCAUUUGUUAUAUUGUUGAUAUUUGACCAAUCAUUCCUUUUAAAAAGUUUGCGAAAAAGGUAUGAAAGGUGUUAAGAACACGCAGUCUAUGUGUGGAACUGCUGAUUGUCUGUCAUGCAUUAUGACCUUCUGUGCUGUGUUCUAAUAAAUCAGACAUCU